This is a long non-coding RNA of Bombus huntii, 4602 nucleotides long. RefSeq lists it as uncharacterized. The transcript is spliced from 2 exons. Lineage: Eukaryota; Metazoa; Arthropoda; Insecta; Hymenoptera; Apidae. The record is from RefSeq and is a predicted model, not a curated record.
UUAAGUUAAUUCGAGCGCGCCGGUCACACGUUCGAUCGGUACUCGUUACGGUAAUCUCGACAACCGCGAUCGUUCUUCAUUGGCACCGGUGCUGACACUGAUUCGCCGUAAUAACAGAGCCUAAUUCCGGCCGGUCGAUCAGCUCAAUUGUCAAACUACGUACGCGACACAAAUCAACUGGAUACGAGAUAAACGGUUCGUGGCUGAGAAUGAAGAAAUCUUACGAUGUUGCAAGGCUAUUUGCGAGGGGCGUCGUUAUUAGUUUAACCCUCUAUCGAUCAGCCAUCGUAUAACGAGCGCGACCAUGCGUAGUCGCAUUCAUAAUCGGAUACCAUGCGUGCCGGCGAAUCGGUGAAUCGCAUUCUUUCGUUGUGUUGCCAUUGGAAUUUAAAUACGCAUGGAGCCAAACAAAAGGAAAGAGCGCAAUUAAAACGGGAUUUAGGAUUCCAACGAUUGUAUACGUUGAUCUCAAACAGGACGAAAUAAAGCGGAGAAAUGUCAAGGCAGAGCGAGAGGUGACCGCACAAUAGCAGUCUUGAUCUGGGAUUUAAUCGCUGCUUAUUAAAUUUCAUUGUCUUGCUUCGAGAAGGAUUCUUCCGUCUUUUAAACACUUCUGUGAGUAAACUGUUAAACAUUCGAAUUAUAUCGUACAUCGAUGCACGUAUGUUCCUGAGAAUAUAACAAGAUUCGAAGAGAGAAGAGCCAGUUGUGUAACGCGUUUCCGAGGUUUAAAUUGAUUUUCACCCUUGAAUUCCACGUCAGAAAUCACGGACGAAGAUCCAAUAUCCAGACGAAGAAACAUCCCCUAAUUUUUUAUUUCCACCAACUGAUCGCCUUUCACUAGAGUGACGAUGAAGGGUAGGGGAAAGCUCCGAAGGAAACAAGAUGGAGUUAACGUCGCUAGCAGCUGUUGGUACCCGCGGUGUAAAUAAAUGGAACUACUCUACGAAAAGUGUACGCUCUUUUGUCCGCGAAUUGACAAGUUGCAUGUUGCACGAAUACACUUGGCCACUGGAUCGUUUGUUACAAACCAUGGACGAAUCACGUAAGAAUACAAAGUUCCAAUUAUUACAAUUUUUCCUUUCUUCAUACGACGCAUCGAUGCGUAACGCUUUUACAAACUUUAAACGCUAAUUUCUAAAGAAAUAUAUUGAAAAUAUAAUGUAAAAUAUAAAUUAUCAGGAAACUUACACGUAUUCAGAACGGUAUGGCAGGAUUUAAAAAAAAAGCUAUCCUUCACGAGAAGUAUAGUGAAAUUUUUAUGUAUACGUAUCCGCAAUUUUAUAUAAAAUUCAGACUUUGCACCUCGUUUAUAUGCGGUGGAUCGCAUGCUGCAUAAAUAUGCGUAGAAAUACGGGCAGAAAAAUGCGCAUAAAGAAGGCUGGCGUGCGUGUACACUCGAAGGAUGGUGAAAAAGGCCUGUACCAUCCCUUGCAUCGUUGCUUAGGUGCAGAUUAUACGGUUAGGGGAGAGUAUCCUGACUACUAACCAUAUCGGAAAUAUCGUUCUGUGGAUUUUCAAGCCUGUCUUCUACGCUCCCUCAAAUUCACCAACGUGCAGGAAUAAUAGAAGCUCGAGGAAACGCACGGAUGAGGGCGGAAAUCGAAAAAUCCGGAUCAAAGCUUAGCGGCGGUCUUUACUCACACCAUCGGGAUAUAAUACCUCGUUAUCUUGAAUAAAUAUUCUCUUUCUCGAAGGAAUAUCGUCAAUGAAUUUAACCACUGAGAAGCGAAAUUUAAUUAAACAAGAUACCGAGAGCAGUGGAAUUAAGAUUUCGAGAUUGCGCGGGACAUGAAAUUCUAAUCGAUACGUAGAGAUUUCGUACAUUUGUGUUUGGUAAAUUAAUGUUCGACAUUUUAAUGGACAAUACGAAUAUUAACCGAGUUUCCCUUUAAUCAAGAACUUGUGCAACGUACAGUGACAGAAGAUAUCUUCUGACAACAAUCGAUAUCUUAAUAACUGCUAUCCUUUCAACUUCCAUCUGUAUAAGUAAGAGAUAGUUUUAUGAAAUAUCUGUAGAGUACAAGUUAUUUAUUCAACAUUUAUGUCGGUAUCGAGGAUCACAGAAAUUCCGUGGGAUUCUAACAUUGACUUGCAAAUAAAUUUAGCAAACGAAUCGGCAGCCCCAUUCUGUCGGUCAGCAACGGAGGACGUGGAUCAUUAUCGUCUAUUUCUCACUUGAAAAACUCGAGAAUCGAUAAGUUGGAGAAAAGGAAUAUCCGGUCUUUGCCGAGGUGAAUUGAAAGGAAGCACGAGGAACGAAGGAUCGCAUUGAAAUCAGAAAUGAAUGUCCAGGAUACAUCGUUGGGUUCGUAAAAAAGAAAAAAAGAAAGAAAGAAAAAUGAAAAAGAAGAAGGAAACGGAAAAUAUAUAUCCCAUCCUUUGAGAAACCUUCUUUAUUUCAAGUUUUAUUUUCAUCGCAGCGACGCUUCAACUUGGAAGAAAGGAAGUUCACUGAUCGGAAAGAGACGUGUACGAAGAAUGCAGAAAGAAACGAGUUAGAAUGGCAGGAUUGAAGAGAACUACGAACAAAUCGAGCCUCUUGAAAUUGCCGAAGGAUAGCAGCAGAUCGAAGAAAAAGGCCAAGAUGAAUUCAUCGAAUAAAAUAAAAGGGAUCGACGAAGAAGUUCUGUAUUAAUAAAGUUGAUCUAAACGUUCUAAAUUAAAAAGAAACGUAGUUGUAUCGCAGUUUAGACGUCGGGCGCCGUUUCCACAUUUCGCAACACUCUCCGCUUCGUUUUUCGAAUAUUUGUGGUGCACAUAGCGGCAGGUGCAAGAAUUGUUGGUAAAAAUAACAAGUGAAAUUCUCUGCUUUAGCUGCUAAUUAAAGGCUGAAUUAUAAAUGGAGCGAUAAACAGGAUUGGCCUGCUAUCGAUCGUUUCCUCAACUCCUCGCUCCCUGGUCUCCUCGUAAUUUCCAGCGAAUUAUUCAAAUUCUAUCGGUGCACCACUCGAUUCAGCGUCGAAUAAAACAACGUCGAAAAUCGUAUCACGCGUCGUGAAACAAAAAAUAAAAAAGAAAAGAAUAAAAAAGACAGAUAGGAAAAGGAAAAAGAAUGUACUUUCAUCGGUGGAGUGACGUAACACAGCCAGCGAUUUUUUUUCCCAAGCACGACGAGCCUCGCCGUCACUCAGCUGUCUCGUUUCACAGUGAAGUUCAGCAAAUUGCAAUCUCUCCCUUUUUUCCUAGAUUCCCUUAUUUGUCCUCCCUUUGCUCGCCCACCUCUCUCUCUCCCUCUCUCUUUGAGCUACCCUCCUGGAAUCUCCUGCUUUUCAACGAUCAACCCCUCUCUUCUCUGUCAGAUACACGUGUCGACUGCGUGUCCUUUUCAGAACGUCUUGACGCGUACACGACACGCGCUGUUACGUGCGUUCGCACGUGGGCACAGGUAAGAAUAGAGAAGUGCAAUGCGAUACGGAUGAAAUACCAAUGAACGCCACUCAAGUGGAGGUUCACGCGUCUUUUCAAAGUUCGAUCAUUCGUCCCACGAUACUGACCCAGUUUUACAACUUCGUCCAUUUCGGUUGCUCUCUUUUGUUUCUAUGAUCUUUUCGAUUUAAGCGUUUUAGCGAGAACAGCGAAAUCUAAUGUUACUCUUAUGCGAUGACAAAUCUAAUUAAAUGUUAAUUAGUUGGACGUUGUUGGGAAGCAUGGAGGAGUUUACCUUACGUGGACGAAAGCAAAAUGCAACGACUUUUAAUUCAUAAUGAAUUCAUUAAAAAUAUGGUUAAGAUGUAACGUUAAUUACGGAAACGUGUAGGUAAUUUUAUAAUUGUAAGGGAGGUUUGUAAAUACUAAACGUAAGAAAAAUGUAUAAGCAUAGAGCAGUAAGGAAUAAAAGCGAGUAAAAAUUCGUAAAAGGAAAGUACACGUAACGUUGCGAAACAGUCACCUUAUUUCGCCUAUUGAAUCUACAAGUGGUUGGUUGACUAUUUGAGUACGGAGCACGACAGUGGUGAAUUCAAGAAGAGCAAAGGAUAUCGGACACAGAUUUCCACGUGGAAUGCCAGAUUAAAGGUAAGAAGGAGUAUUUGUUUAAACAACCACAGAGUUUUUUUAGCUGUCACAAAAUUAUCGAUGUUCUAUGUGUGAAAUAAUACGCACUAGAAGAUGAGAACGCGAAAGCACUUGUUAUUUGAAAAUCUACAAACUUGCAAGAGCAAAUAAAGAGAAAUACGUGGUAGGAAAAUCGAGGCGUAGACUGACUCUGUACAAGAUAGAAUAGACGUAAAAAAGGAGAAAGAAAGAAGAAAAAGAACAGCAGAAUAUUUGUAGUUCAGAAGAUAGCGAUCGAGAAUAGAACGUGAAAGAAGAAAAUCACAACAACGACCGUGACAACCAAGAGAAAUAAACCUUGGCGCCAGUUUCUAUCUUUUCUCGUUCAACGGUGCAGCGGCAGCACCCUUUUUUCCAGGAAAAUAAAAUCGUGGAACAUGGUCAGGAAUGCAAACACAUUUUUCACUCGAAACAUCCCACGCAUUGGGAACGCGCGAACCAAAUGGCAAUUGUUCGUCGAAUAGGUAUAUAUUCCACGUGCGACGCAACUCGAGAAGCAACAGAGAAAAAAUCGUAAAAAAAAAAAAAAAUAAAUAAACAAAUAAA